This 588-nucleotide long non-coding RNA is filed under the name Equus caballus (horse). Its description in RNAcentral is "lncRNA (ENSECAG00000052755.1)". Lineage: Eukaryota; Metazoa; Chordata; Mammalia; Perissodactyla; Equidae. The record is from RNAcentral.
CCAGGAACUAGUCUCAGGGUCCAUUAGUGCCUGAAAGCUGAUUAUUUCUCUUUCCCAUUGCGUAGGCACUCUGGUAGAUGGCCCUGGGCCCUGUUGGGGAAGCCUGGGAGGAAGAUUUACAGCACAAAUUUUUGGUGAUGUAAUAGGAUCCUUCCUCAUAAUAGGGGAUCCAUCCUCAUGUAACAGGGGACCUGGCUGCUUCUUCAUUCCAGUGUUCCUGGGCCUAGGAACUGGCUCAAGAGAAUCUGGCUCUGAGGAUUAGUUGAGGGGCUGGAACUCUCCAUCCUGGGACCACCGUGAUCAACCAGCCAACAUCAAAGAUCUCUGCAGGUCAAACCAUUCUGAUUACUGCUUCAGCCCUGUUGCCCGCAAGAUUCCUGGCUAUAUACAUUGGGAAAAAAAUCAUACAAUUCUUUUGGCAUGCGUGAUGUCUUCUUACAGGAGAAGCUAGUACUUUGGCUGCAGGGCCACACGCACACCUGGUCCAGGAUUUGAGGAAGCUGAAGUGAGAGAUCUCAUGGGAGUUGGAGGAGCUGAGGACCCUGCUAUUGUCCACACCAGCAAGGGGCGUUAGCAGAUUUGUAAAAC